CGACGGCCAGGCCCGAGCUGCGCCGGACUGGGCCGGGGUGGGCUCGCAGGGACGAGGUUCGGGGACGGGACCCAGUUCCGUGGCGGGCUGCUUUCCUUCCUCAGAGGCCGCGAGGUCAUGGCGGCGGCUCGAGUUCCCUGCUUCCAGUGUGGGUUGGUCAGUUCCUCCACAGCGCUUUUAAACGCCGUGAGACGGUCCCACUCUGCCAGCUGCUCUGUGGCAAGCUGCCCAGCGUUUCACCCGUGUGUUCCCUGCCGCCCGCGCUCGGCGCGGCCUCGACUCAGCCUCCCCGAGGAGGUCCCCUCGACCGUCGUGGCCCUGGCGUUUGCCAUGCGAGGACAUCGCGUUGCGCUCCUGAGCCGAAACCUGUGCGCGCUCGGCGGCUGAGGCCUUUGGUGCCGCAGGAGGCAGAAACCGGAGCUCCCGUGCCCGGCCCCGCAGGGACCGGAAAGGCGAGCAGCCUGCGCUGCCCUCUCCGCCCGCUCGGAACCAGGGUCCCUAGGGUUCGGUCGCUCAGGUUCUGCCCUGAACCAGGCACAGGUCCAUCGGAUCAUUUCCACUUACGAAGUAAACGAUUUGGUUUUUUUAAAACUUCAUUUUAAACAUUAGGUAUUUUAAAUCAUCACAAAAUGAAGUUGGAAGACUAAGUUACUGGAGUCAACUUAGAUAACUUGAUACAUUACAUAUUAUCAAUGACAUUUUAAAAACAAAACUGAUUUUUGACUUCGGAAAACCAAGUAAUAAUUGUCAUUUCUAGUUAGAGACUGAAGCAAAUUGUGAAAAAUCAUGUAAAUACCUAGGCUACUUUCUCAAACUACUGUUGUUUUUCUCUUUUUUAAAGACUGCUAAAAAUCGUGAGAUUUGGAAGUAGAAGAUGUUCAGGUUAUGUUUUCAGAAAGAUGCUUGUCAAUCACAGUCAACAAGCUGUGGGUUUCCUGAAUGGAAGUAAAAGCCGCGCAGAGUUAAAAGUCGUCCCAUGUCUUGGGACUGUGCUUCUGGUGGCAGUGCCUCCCCUCUGUGGAUGAAACAUGCCGCGUUGGAUGCAUUCCCGUGAAGCAGGCAUUGUCUCUGCUCCCCGGAGGAUCCUAGCUCUCUGAAAGAGCUCUUUCAGGAAACACCUAGGUUCAACUUCAUGCAGCAGGAGCUCCAGUUGGAUUCACUUGGUACUUCAGUAUGCUGGAAACGAGAAAGCUUCAUUUAUAAUGUAAAGGUACCUAAGAGCCAUCUGACACUUCUAUUCAUGUCAGUAAGAAUGGUUUCUGUCCACACGGGCGUAGAGUCUGCCCCGGACAGGAUACACUGAUGAUGUCCAUUUCAACAUUAGCAUACGUGGACAUUUGCAGCACUUCCUGUUUUCUUAAUUUUUAACUUUCAAUUUUAAACUUUUAUUAACAAAAGGGGAACUGUACUGGAACGGAUGGAGCCAAAUGUACCACUGUGUGCAGCUUUGGUAAAGGAAUUUAAAGGAGGUAAAAUAUGUGCGCUUCAUUGUCUCGGUGGCAGAAAGAAGUGAGUCAGGACCUGGUACAAGGAUGUUGCAAGCCCUUCAUUUACUGACUUCUUGCCUCUGUCAGCUGCGGCUCAAAGCACUUCCUGUGUUGACUGAUUUGGCCUGGUGACAGUGGUGUGGGGCAGGUGCUGUGCAGCUGAGAAAAUAGGAGGUUAAGCACUUCCCCAAACUCACCAAGACAGCCUGUUCUCCACACCCCACACCAUCUAGCACCAGACUUCCCAGGGCAGGCAUGAAACAUGUGGGGACCUGCUCAGUGCACCCCAGACCUGCAGAGCCUGAACCUCUGAGCCAGCCCAGCCUGAGUUUUACUAAAGCCACUCAGACUAGAGUUUGAGAAUCCCUGGCAAAAAGGAAGGUGGUGGCAAUGUUAACGAUCUCUUUUCAUGGAUUUUCAUUCUAGAACAAAUGCUGGGAAGUUGCUCUAACAUACAGUAUGUGUGUUCCCAAAGGUGAAGGCUCCAGAUGUGGCGGCCAAGCUGAAGAGACCAUCAGAGAGGUGGGCCAGGGCCUCAGGGAGGGAGUGGGUGCUGCUGCAAACCAGUGGGCACCCAGGUCAACCUCACUGGCUCCCUCAGGGUUUUCUUCAGUUUUGGAAAACUACCUUUUACUGGCUGUAGAACCAUGUGUAUUCUUAAGACAUCAAAAGAAAUUCAUUUGCUUUUUAUUUUGAAAUAAUAGUAAAGAAUUUUGAAUAAAGGUUAAGAAAGUUGAAACUGAAUGAGGCCGCACCCUCGGAAUACAGUGGGUACAAAGCUGUGCUCCCGCUGAGGUCUUCCUGACACCAUGGAUUCUCGGGAGGUCCCUGCCUUGGCAGAGAAUUGAAUGUGCAAGAGCCUGAGCUUCCUUACAUAUUCCUUCCCACCAGGCUGAAGGAGAAGCAGGAUGAACAGCAGAAUUACCAGGUUCUGACUCUGACGGUGGCCAGUCUGUGUCUCUUCUUCAUGGUGCUUGCCACACACCUUGCAGAUUUCCUGACCUCCAGACAGCCCUCUCUUUCCCUUGCCUGGACCCUGUGUUUUUUCUGGAAGCAUCAUCUCCAGCAGAAUCUCCCAGGGCAAUGCUUCCCACCCAUCACCAGGCACAUGCAGGACAGGGAGGACAUUUUAUGCCUCUGUGUAUCCAUCAUCAAAUGAUUCCUUGAUUAUGAAACUGUCCUAUGUGCUCCUAAAAUGCAGGCUGUGGUGAGCCGUUCCCCCAUGGCCUGGGUACCCAGCUCCCAGAGGCUGGAUCGGCUCAAGGCAUCGGAGCCUGCCCUGCCUCUCCCUUGGGUGCCUCCCUCUGUGACUUUGACCCUGGGAUGCUCCUGGGCUCUGCAGGGUACAUAAGCCUGCCUUUCAAGGACUCAGACCAUUCCCUUCAGGGAGCAAGGGAAGGGUUGCUGCCAUCUCUGUGCUGUUUGUAAUGAGCACCCAGUGCAAUCCAAUCUGUUUAAAACAUGUGGAGAUGGUUACAUAAAAUGUUUGAGAUGAAUACUUAAAGUCAGGUUCAUAUAAUUACUCUUCAUUUAUAUCUCUUCAUUUCACUUGCACAAGACCCUCCUGACUGGCAGCAUGAGACCCACGUGGAACACAGCAGAGUGCGGAGUUACGCUGUUCACAGCACGGGUACCAUGCAGACCCUGUGUGCAAGGCUAGUUCCCAGCCAGGCGCUGCUGGGAGGUGGUGGCACCUUUGAGGGUGAGGCCGAGCAGGACAUUAGGUCAUGAAGGACACAUCCUUGAAGGGAGCUCUCAGACCACAGUCUCCUCAUCCUCUUUUUCACAUCCGGCCCUGAGGUGAGAGGCUUUGGUGGACCACACACUCCCACUUCGGUGCGCUGCCUCAGCCUAGGAAACUGCAGGGCAGACAACCACACCUGAAUCUCCAACAUGUGAGUCAGAAGAAACUACUUCUGCAGGGGAAGGGGGAGUUGGGGUGCAGGGCAAAGGAGAGAAGGGGAUGGAAUUCAUAUGAGAAAAUGGAACAGUGGAAACAAAGUCUGUAAACAGGGAGGGAGUGGAGGGGUGGAGGGAGGGCAGGGGAAGGGAAAAUAAGAACCUAAGAGAGUAUGUAAAGGUGCAGAUCUCCAAUGAUGAGUGUCAUUAUACUGUACACCUAAAAUGUACCAAUAAAAUUAAUUUAAAAAGAAGAAGA
Long non-coding RNA from Heterocephalus glaber (naked mole-rat), 3645 nucleotides. Lineage: Eukaryota; Metazoa; Chordata; Mammalia; Rodentia; Bathyergidae. The record is from Ensembl.